RNAcentral lists this long non-coding RNA (1112 nucleotides) under Dasypus novemcinctus (nine-banded armadillo). RNAcentral describes it as "lncRNA (ENSDNOG00000051807.1)". The record is from RNAcentral. Lineage: Eukaryota; Metazoa; Chordata; Mammalia; Cingulata; Dasypodidae.
GGUCCCUGGGGUGGUAGUGGUGGGUGUCGUGGUCCCUGUGGUGGUAGAGAUGGGGGUGUGUGGUCUUGUAGUGGUAGAUGUGGGUGUCGUGGUCCCUGGGGUGGUUGAGGUGGGUGUCGUGGUCCCUGUUGGGGUAGUGGUGGGUGUCGUGGUCCCUGGGGUGGUAGUGGUGGGGGUCGUGGUCCCUGUGGUGGUUGAGGUGGGUGUCAUGGUCCCUGUUGGGGUAGUGGUGGGUGUCGUGGUCCCUGUGGUGGUUGAGGUGGGUGUUGUGGUCCCUGGGGUGGUUGAGGUGGGUGUCGUGGUCCCUGUGGUGGUAGAGGUGUGUGUCGUGGUCCCUGGGGUGGUAGUGGUGGGUGUCGUGGUCCCUGUGGUGGUAGAGAUGGGGGUGUGUGGUCUUGUAGUGGUAGUGGUGGGUGUCGUGGUCCCUGGAGUGGUUGAGGUGGGUGUCGUGGUCGCUGUGGUGGUAGAGAUGGGGGUGUGUGGUCUUGUAGUGGUAGAUGUGGGUGUCGUGGUCCCUGUGGUGGUCGAGGUGGGGGUCGGGGUCCCUGGGGUGGUGGACGUGGGUGUUGUGGUCUCUGUUGAGGUAGAGGUGGUAACUGUGGUCCCUGUGGUGGUCGAGGUGGGGGUCGGGGUCUUGGUGCUGGUCCUGGUGGUUGAAGUGGGCGUGGAAGUCAGUGCAGUGGUGGGUGGCUGGCUGGUACCUGGCGUCAUGCUGGCGGUGGGAGCACAUGAGCAGCAGUAAACGUUGAUUUCAUAGUUGAGGCAGGUGGGGAUCAGGGAGCCCGCUGCUAGCUCUUGCUCGCGGUUCCGGCACACCAGCCCGACACCGGUGUUGCACAGCACCUUCUGUCCCAGGUCUCUGAUUGGCACGUUGGGGUACUUCGUGGCUCUACAGGAAACGUUGACUAUCCAGCCAUGACAGGUUCCUACAAGGGACUCUACGUCACCACCCCCUGGAUUGCCAGGAUCAGGUUGGUUCUUGUCGUUCCAGCCAGUCCAAUAACAGUUAGGCACACACGUGGUUGACGGGGUCGUCGUGGCCGUGGCUGUUGACUCUGAAGUGGGCGUCACUGUGGGUGAUGUGGUUGUCACUGAGGUAGUGGAGCUCGUUG